AUUUAAAUAGUUUAAUAAAAAAUAUUGAUUUGUGGAAUCAAAGAUAUGGUUUUCAUUUUAGAUA
Molecule: transfer RNA, 64 nt
Filed under: Ocypus graeseri
Lineage: Eukaryota; Metazoa; Arthropoda; Insecta; Coleoptera; Staphylinidae
Description: tRNA-His
Source: RNAcentral